UACAGAGGUGUCAAGCGUUGCUCGGUGUCACUGGGCUUAAAGGGCGCGUAGGCUGUGCAGUACGGCUCGGGUGAAAUCCCUCGGCCCAACCGAGGAACUGCCCGGGCGACGGCUGCGCUGGACUGCAUCAGGGGCGGAUGGAACUCCCGGUGGAGCGGUGAAAUGCGUAGAUAUCAGGAGGAACACCGAUGGCGAAGGCAGGUCUCUGGGCUGACACUGACGCUCAUGCACGAAAGCGUGGGGAGCAAACAGG
RNAcentral lists this ribosomal RNA (253 nucleotides) under uncultured bacterium. Its description in RNAcentral is "partial 16S ribosomal RNA". It matches the Rfam family "Bacterial small subunit ribosomal RNA", at positions 524 to 776 of the family's 1533-position model. The record is from RNAcentral.